UUCACUACAAACUCUACUCCAAUGACCAAAGUCCAGACUAGACCAAUACCUUCAACUACAACAUCAUAUCAAAGACCUACUGGAACACACAAUACAGAGACCCCAGAUAAAGAUUCAGAUUCUGCCAGCAUGUAUCACUUCAUCCUUUAUCCUGUUCUGCUGCUGCUGUUAGGAAUUGGAGUUAUCUACUGGAGAUACAGAGUUCAGAGAUGUGGGCAGAGGGAGAGCAGAGACGUGAGGACACAGGUGAGUACACACUCCCCCUUAAGACUGACAGCACGCUGUGUUCGCUCUA
Molecule: non-coding RNA, 295 nt
Organism: Electrophorus electricus (electric eel)
Lineage: Eukaryota; Metazoa; Chordata; Actinopteri; Gymnotiformes; Gymnotidae
Source: RefSeq, a predicted model, not a curated record